AAAACUCCCAGACAACUGAAGCAUGUGCUGCCAAUGCAAAGUGUGUUCAUGUAAAUGAGUGUGAUGGUCACGUCAGAUAAUGCAAAAACAAAAGUUAGAUGUUCCUUAUGCAGGAGUUUGCAUCUGAAAAAUGUUACAUGUGUCAUAUUUGUCUGAUGCUAAACGUCUCUGAUAAUUGAAUGCAGUAUGAGAGAGAGCAGCAUCAACAUAAGAGACAGUAGAAUUAUCACCAUGUUCAACAUGAUGAAUGAGGUUAAAGCUGGUCCCACAGUGAAGCCUUCUAUGACUCUGCUGCCUCCGUCCUCUCUGCAGAUCUCUGGAAACUCAACCGCACUGCUCUGCCUGAUCAGUUCUUACUCUCCAGAGGGGGCGCUGCUGAGCUGGACUCUGGAUGGGUCAGAGGUCACAGAGGGGGUUCUGACCAGUGCAGAGAGUGAGCAGGACGGCCGCUACAGCCGCAAUAGCGUCCUGACCCUCAGCAAAGCACACUGGGACGAGGCAGAGGUGUUCGUCUGCAGAGUAACUCAUGAUGGAGAUCUUCAUCAGGUCUCGUUCCGCAAGAGUCGCUGUUAAGAGUGUUGAAUGUUGAUGUUUCUUCUAAAGAUGAGUUGUAUCCGAGUGUCUCGCAGCUUUAGUGAUUUACAACUGAAUCUUUUAAUGUGUUGUGUUUGUUACAUUCAAUAAAGCUUCUGAACAAGA
This is a non-coding RNA of Xyrauchen texanus (razorback sucker), 699 nucleotides long. The record is from the annotation of a RefSeq genome assembly. NCBI's taxonomy places the organism in Eukaryota, Metazoa, Chordata, Actinopteri, Cypriniformes, Catostomidae.